Nylanderia fulva is the source of this 677-nucleotide non-coding RNA. Lineage: Eukaryota; Metazoa; Arthropoda; Insecta; Hymenoptera; Formicidae. The record is from RefSeq and is a predicted model, not a curated record.
UAAACGCACUGACGUUUCGGCAUCAAUUGAUUUCUCUUCAAAUUUAUUCUCUUUUAUAUAUAAGAAUUAUAUUUAUUGGAUUCAGACAGUUUUCGUGCUUUAUUAUGGGUAGAAAACAUACUAAUAAAGCACACAAACAUUUCACAUAUAACGAUGUAGAAGAUAGUUCACAGUGUGUCAUCUGUAAAUCUUCAUUGAAGGGUAAUUAUGGGACAAACUUAAAAAAACAUUUAAUUCGUUACCAUGAUUUUAAAGAAGAAUAUUUCACUGAUAUUUCUUUGAAUAAAAAAGAAACGGGAAAGCAUCGAAAAGAAAUACAGCCACAAAUAGAUGAAGUAAAUUCUAUAAAAGUAAAAAUGACAAAAAAAGAUCUCGAAAACAAUUGCAUUGAAUUAGUAACAGUUAAUGGAAGACCAUUUAGUAUUUUAAAUGACUCUGGUUUUCAAAAUAUUAUAAAUCCAAUCAAAUCGGCAAUAGAAGAUAAAUAUAAACAGAAAAUUUCUAUUUCGUCAGAAUCAAUACAAAGAAAAGUUAAUGAAGAAGCUGAUAAAAUAAAAAAGGAAAUAUCUGAGGAUAUAAAAAACAUUCUGAUUUCAAUAAAAGUGGACGCUGUCACUCGAUUAGACAGAUCCUUUUUAGGUAUCAAUAUACAAUAUAUUAAAGAUACAAAAAUUGUA